AAAGACAUUCCGAUCCUAUGAGAUACUACCAUCAACACCAUCUAUUCACAAUCUAUCUCCCAAGUACUAGCAGUCUAAAGACUAGUAACUCACGCUUCAAGUCAAAUUCCUAUGUAGAAGGGGUUAGGGACAGGAAACAGGUAAAAGGAGAUAUAUGGAGAAGGUGUUUUCUGCUGAGAACAUGCCAAGCGUGCUCUGGUUAAAUCAAGAAAAUGACUGCAAAGACUAACCAGAGCAAUUAUGUAAGAAGGCAUAAAAAGAAGUGUACAAUGCCAGAGGUAGGGGAAAAAAAAAUCAUGGCCGGGCAUGGUGGCCCAUGCCUGUAAUUCCAGCACUUCAGGAGGCCAAGUUAUUAGAGAUGUCUGCUAGUCAUGCAAGAUGUUAACAAUGAAGGAGGCUCAGUGAAAGCUGCACAGAACCUCUCUGGACAUUUAUUUGCAACUUCCUGUGAAUCUAUAAUUAUUUGGAAAUAAAAAGUUGAAACAAG
Macaca mulatta (Rhesus monkey) is the source of this 487-nucleotide non-coding RNA. Lineage: Eukaryota; Metazoa; Chordata; Mammalia; Primates; Cercopithecidae. The record is from RefSeq and is a predicted model, not a curated record.